AUUUCCAAAUCUUAAUUAAACUAUCAAACCGAAGUCGAAUAGGACAUGGACCUUAGAUAUUUGAAAUGCAAAAUUAGACGAAGAUCAAGAGGAAUAAAAGCCCCUCGUGUUAGGGCUUCAAUUCCUUACACUAACCACUACAUGAUGGAAACGAAUUCAAGGCGAAUCAUUGAAUGAAGCCUACCUACAGAAUGGAGAAGUGUUCCAGAAUUUGUUGAAAUUGAAAACGAUGAUGUUGAAUAAGAAUACCAGAGCUUCUUCAGGAUGAAGAUAGAUGAUGGAACAAUGCAAGGAUGACUUAUUAUUGAAUAAAUAAAUGGGAAUUAGGGUUUAGGAUAAAAAAAUGAUGAGUUGACUUUGGUCAACUGGUUGACCAAAAAGUCAACAUUUGAUUGAAAGUCAACUUAUGCAAAAAAAAAAUGUAAUUCUUGUAAUCUUUUCAAUGUAAUGUACUAUGGAUAAUGCAAAAUGAACUUUAUGAAUGAAAUGUAUUACUUAGUGAAAAA
Molecule: long non-coding RNA, 506 nt
Organism: Lathyrus oleraceus (garden pea)
Lineage: Eukaryota; Viridiplantae; Streptophyta; Magnoliopsida; Fabales; Fabaceae
Exons: 2
Source: RefSeq, a predicted model, not a curated record